This 253-nucleotide ribosomal RNA is filed under the name uncultured bacterium. RNAcentral's name for it is "partial 16S ribosomal RNA". It matches the Rfam family "Bacterial small subunit ribosomal RNA", at positions 524 to 776 of the family's 1533-position model. The record is from RNAcentral.
UACGGAGGGUGCAAGCGUUAUCCGGAUUUACUGGGUUUAAAGGGUGCGUAGGUGGCUAAUUAAGUCAGUGGUGAAAUCUUCAGGCUUAACCUGGAAACUGCCAUUGAUACUAUUUAUCUUGAAUACUUUGGAGGUAAGCGGAAUAUGUCAUGUAGCGGUGAAAUGCUUAGAUAUGACAUAGAACACCAAUUGCGAAGGCAGCUUACUACACAGUAAUUGACACUGAGGCACGAAAGCGUGGGGAUCAAACAGG